Molecule: long non-coding RNA, 405 nt
Organism: Erinaceus europaeus (western European hedgehog)
Lineage: Eukaryota; Metazoa; Chordata; Mammalia; Eulipotyphla; Erinaceidae
Exons: 2
Source: RefSeq, a predicted model, not a curated record
AACCUCCCAGGGGGACUGGACCUCAUGGACGUCAAUAUAUACAACCUCAGUGUUAUACAAUCUCCCCAGUGAGAAACUCUGCCCCUCAUAUAGCCGAUACAUAUAUAGAACUCCAGAGGAUCCAUCGGGAUGAUGACAGCAACUCUCAUCACCAGGAGCCUCACACUGGAGGCUCUUGCACCAUAGAAGACUGUAACCCAUUGAGCAUAAAAGUUAAAACCUGGUAUGAUGCUGACUUAUGGACAAAGGGUAAGACAUGGGGCAUGGGGUCUCAUGCAUACCAACACUUCACCAUCCAGUUGGAAGUGCAGCCAUGGUCCCAGAACCCCAUUGGACCUUUGAGACCAAUUCUUUUGGGUCAGGACCCCCGGGUCACUUCACCACCCCUGACAGUAGCGGAGGCUG